Papaver somniferum (opium poppy) is the source of this 1536-nucleotide long non-coding RNA. RefSeq lists it as uncharacterized. The record is from RefSeq and is a predicted model, not a curated record. The transcript is spliced from 2 exons. Lineage: Eukaryota; Viridiplantae; Streptophyta; Magnoliopsida; Ranunculales; Papaveraceae.
UCUUUGUAUCUGGGUUUUUCUCAAGUUUCAAUUUUCAUCUUUGUAUCUGGGUUUGCUCAAGUUUCUAUCUGGUUCCUGAAUUGAUUUUGGAGACCAAAAUUGUACAUGCGAAGAUUUUGAUUUGAUAUAUUGUUAAGGUAGAAAUUGGGAAGGAAUAAUUUUUAUUAGUUUGAUUGCAUGAAAGUGGUUUCUGAAUUCACUUAUUCAAACCUUUCUCUCUGUUAUUUUGCAAUACAAACCUAAGAGCAGAUCGAAGAAGAAGAAGAAGAUAUUAAAUUAAAUAAGUUUCAAAUCCUUUUUAUCUUUGAUUCUGUUUUUUUUUUUUUUUGCUUAAGCUUCUGUCUGGUUAAUCAAAAAAUUGAAAGAUUUUGGUGAAUUUGAUAAAUUGGUUAAUGUAGAAAUUGGAAAGGAAUGAAUUUGUUUAGUUUUGUUGCAUGACUCUGAAAUGGGUUUUCAAACUAUUUCUGAAAAUCCCUUAAGGAUUAUUUGAUUAAUGUCUGCUUUGAUUAUUGAUCUAUGCAGUGGAUUAAGUUUAUUCUUUUCUUUUUGGUAUGAGGUUUUGUACAUGUGAGUUUUACUAGUGAAAAAUUGAAACAAAGCAUUACCCAUUACAAUAUAGGUUAUGGAUUAUAAUUAUGUGGGUGAAUGACGGUUCUGAAAGAUCUCUAAUAAUAAAUCCAUGCAGUUGUGUCCAGUAAUUCACUAUUCGCUGCUCCUUUAGUUUUGUCACUUCUAUUUUUAACAUGUGUUGCGUUGUAAGAGAAGCUGGCUGUGAAGGUUAGCUCAUACUGCUGCUUGUCUGGCUCCUGUGAUACACAAUUUUUGUAGUAUCUGUAGUUGUCUUUUGUAGGAUGCUCUUGAUAGUAAGUUCGUUGAACUCUCAUUAUCGACUGCAUUUCAGUGUUAAACAUGCUUGAGGAUUGCAGAAAUUAUAUCUUAUCGCUUUCUUAGUUGACUGGAUAGUUAAUCUUAUUUGCGGAACUUGAGGCUCAAUGGUGUUGUGUUGUUGGUAAUCUCCAAAUUGCUGUAGCAGACUUUCUCAGCUAAUGAAUGCAUAUUGUUGUGAGUACUGACCUACCCUGGAGCACAAGACAUUUUGAAUAGCUUUGAACUGCUAUUAACCCGCACGCAUCACAAGCAGAUAAGGAUCUGUUGAAAUGAUGCAAAAGAAUUACAGGGUUAGGAUUCAGAUUCUUAGGAGUUAGUUUGACAGUUCAUGAAUGCCAAAGUAUCUAUCGAGAGGUGAGUUUGGAUGCAAUUUUAUUUCAUUCUAUUAAAAGGUGUUCAUAUUUGUGACAAGAUACAUGAAUCACUUGCUAGUUGACAAAGCGUACUUUGGGGUUUUCUGUUGUUCCAUAUUGAUCGCGUUAUAGUCGGAGUCUUGCCUUCUAAGUCAGCAUCCUUGCAUUACGUUAAGUCAGAAAUCACUGGUCCUUGAGUUUGUUUGUGACCCUUGCUCUGAUUGAGCCUGGUUUUAUGCUUCUGUCUGUGUGUGAUUCACCCGUUUUAUGCUGAACUUUCAGAUCGUUCUUUCCA